This 2200-nucleotide ribosomal RNA is filed under the name Escherichia coli. RNAcentral's name for it is "bacterial LSU rRNA". It matches the Rfam family "Bacterial large subunit ribosomal RNA", at positions 1 to 2230 of the family's 2925-position model. Lineage: Bacteria; Pseudomonadati; Pseudomonadota; Gammaproteobacteria; Enterobacterales; Enterobacteriaceae. The record is from RNAcentral.
UUAAGCGACUAAGCGUACACGGUGGAUGCCCUGGCAGUCAGAGGCGAUGAAGGACGUGCUAAUCUGCGAUAAGCGUCGGUAAGGUGAUAUGAACCGUUAUAACCGGCGAUUUCCGAAUGGGGAAACCCAGUGUGAUUCGUCACACUAUCAUUAACUGAAUCCAUAGGUUAAUGAGGCGAACCGGGGGAACUGAAACAUCUAAGUACCCCGAGGAAAAGAAAUCAACCGAGAUUCCCCCAGUAGCGGCGAGCGAACGGGGAGGAGCCCAGAGCCUGAAUCAGUGUGUGUGUUAGUGGAAGCGUCUGGAAAGGCGCGCGAUACAGGGUGACAGCCCCGUACACAAAAAUGCACAUACUGUGAGCUCGAUGAGUAGGGCGGGACACGUGGUAUCCUGUCUGAAUAUGGGGGGACCAUCCUCCAAGGCUAAAUACUCCUGACUGACCGAUAGUGAACCAGUACCGUGAGGGAAAGGCGAAAAGAACCCCGGCGAGGGGAGUGAAAAAGAACCUGAAACCGUGUACGUACAAGCAGUGGGAGCCUCUUUAUGGGGUGACUGCGUACCUUUUGUAUAAUGGGUCAGCGACUUAUAUUCUGUAGCAAGGUUAACCGAAUAGGGGAGCCGAAGGGAAACCGAGUCUUAACUGGGCGUUAAGUUGCAGGGUAUAGACCCGAAACCCGGUGAUCUAGCCAUGGGCAGGUUGAAGGUUGGGUAACACUAACUGGAGGACCGAACCGACUAAUGUUGAAAAAUUAGCGGAUGACUUGUGGCUGGGGGUGAAAGGCCAAUCAAACCGGGAGAUAGCUGGUUCUCCCCGAAAGCUAUUUAGGUAGCGCCUCGUGAAUUCAUCUCCGGGGGUAGAGCACUGUUUCGGCAAGGGGGUCAUCCCGACUUACCAACCCGAUGCAAACUGCGAAUACCGGAGAAUGUUAUCACGGGAGACACACGGCGGGUGCUAACGUCCGUCGUGAAGAGGGAAACAACCCAGACCGCCAGCUAAGGUCCCAAAGUCAUGGUUAAGUGGGAAACGAUGUGGGAAGGCCCAGACAGCCAGGAUGUUGGCUUAGAAGCAGCCAUCAUUUAAAGAAAGCGUAAUAGCUCACUGGUCGAGUCGGCCUGCGCGGAAGAUGUAACGGGGCUAAACCAUGCACCGAAGCUGCGGCAGCGACACUAUGUGUUGUUGGGUAGGGGAGCGUUCUGUAAGCCUGUGAAGGUGUACUGUGAGGUAUGCUGGAGGUAUCAGAAGUGCGAAUGCUGACAUAAGUAACGAUAAAGCGGGUGAAAAGCCCGCUCGCCGGAAGACCAAGGGUUCCUGUCCAACGUUAAUCGGGGCAGGGUGAGUCGACCCCUAAGGCGAGGCCGAAAGGCGUAGUCGAUGGGAAACAGGUUAAUAUUCCUGUACUUGGUGUUACUGCGAAGGGGGGACGGAGAAGGCUAUGUUGGCCGGGCGACGGUUGUCCCGGUUUAAGCGUGUAGGCUGGUUUUCCAGGCAAAUCCGGAAAAUCAAGGCUGAGGCGUGAUGACGAGGCACUACGGUGCUGAAGCAACAAAUGCCCUGCUUCCAGGAAAAGCCUCUAAGCAUCAGGUAACAUCAAAUCGUACCCCAAACCGACACAGGUGGUCAGGUAGAGAAUACCAAGGCGCUUGAGAGAACUCGGGUGAAGGAACUAGGCAAAAUGGUGCCGUAACUUCGGGAGAAGGCACGCUGAUAUGUAGGUGAAGCGACUUGCUCGUGGAGCUGAAAUCAGUCGAAGAUACCAGCUGGCUGCAACUGUUUAUUAAAAACACAGCACUGUGCAAACACGAAAGUGGACGUAUACGGUGUGACGCCUGCCCGGUGCCGGAAGGUUAAUUGAUGGGGUUAGCGCAAGCGAAGCUCUUGAUCGAAGCCCCGGUAAACGGCGGCCGUAACUAUAACGGUCCUAAGGUAGCGAAAUUCCUUGUCGGGUAAGUUCCGACCUGCACGAAUGGCGUAAUGAUGGCCAGGCUGUCUCCACCCGAGACUCAGUGAAAUUGAACUCGCUGUGAAGAUGCAGUGUACCCGCGGCAAGACGGAAAGACCCCGUGAACCUUUACUAUAGCUUGACACUGAACAUUGAGCCUUGAUGUGUAGGAUAGGUGGGAGGCUUUGAAGUGUGGACGCCAGUCUGCAUGGAGCCGACCUUGAAAUACCACCCUUUAAUGUUUGAUGUUCUAACGUUG